This is a non-coding RNA of Punica granatum (pomegranate), 904 nucleotides long. NCBI's taxonomy places the organism in Eukaryota, Viridiplantae, Streptophyta, Magnoliopsida, Myrtales, Lythraceae. The record is from RefSeq and is a predicted model, not a curated record.
GUUCCUCGGUAAAUGUUUUAGAAGAAUUACCACCGGAACCAACCGUAAGUAGUUCUGUCAAUAUAUUAAAAAACAAAAGGGCCAGGGAGGAUGGGGCGGCGUUACCGAGGGAACAUUCCCUCGUUAGCCCGCCGGUAUGGGGUCGAAAACCCUUGAUCCGAUACUAGGCUUUUCCAUAGCACAACCCCGUGCCUCCUACCUCCUCUCCCGCCUCCUCCCUCUCCACAUCCCGCCUCCGUCUACUGUCAGCUUUGGCGUCUACCUGUAGCCUCCAUCCACCUCCCUGCAUCUGGAGCUUCUUCCGCAUGCCACCGCUUCGACUGCUGCUUCCUCUGCGCCUCUGCCACUUCUCCGGUUGGUCCUCUGCUCAGCUUCGCCCGUUUCUCUGCUCGACCUCUGGCCGUGCUCUGCCGCAGAUCCGGCCCAGCGUGUGUCUGCCUCAGAUCCGCCCCUUGCUCCGCCCGUCCUCAUUCCAAAAGAGCGAAGUCGGGCACGGCGCAUCCAUCCCUAGAUCUCGCACCAGCCUCGACCCUCCAUGUCCCACCUCGAGCACAGUGCUGUGCAACCUAAAAGCAUCCAUAACAACUGAGCUUUUUGCCUCCAACCGUGGCCAAAGAAGCCACCAUCGAUCAUAAACAACCGAGCAAGAGCAAGGACAAUAUAAUGGGCAGAAAAGGAGGUUGGUGAAAGUCAUGAAUGUGUCUCUUUCCUUUUCCUGGUCGAACAUGAAUGUGUUCUUCAAGCAAAAAGACAUAUUUAGGAUGAAUCAUUGCCUCUUUUUAACGUAUUAGAGUCUAAGUUUGUGGCCCUUCGAGGAGACACGUUCUUCUAAGUUGGAUCAUAUAAAUUGAAUGUCAUGUGCAAUCAAGAUAUAUAUAUUUCAUUUAUUUCAUGAUAGCUCCAA